AAAUUGUAUUGCGUACGACCCUGUUGAGUUUGUCUAGUCUGGCAAUGUAAGGAGACAUGAGAGGUGUAGCAUAAGUGGGAGACUUUGUCGCCGGUGAAAUACCACUACUUUCAUUGUUUCUUUACUUACUCGGUGAGGCCGCAGUCCGCCUUCACGGGCGAUCCGCGUGUCGAUCGUCGAUACAUGUACCCCGAUUCGAGGACACUGCCAGGCGGGACGUUUGACUGAGGCGAUACAUCUGUCAAAGAAUAAGGCAGGUGUCCUAAGGCUAGUUCAGCGAGGACAGAAACCUCGCGUAAAGCAUAAUCGUAAAAACUGGCUUGAUCCCAUGUUCAGUACGUAUAGGCAUUGUGAAAGCACGGCCUAUCGAUCCUUUUGGCUUCAGCAAGAGGUGUCACAAAAGUUACCACAAGGAUAACUGGCUUGUGGCGGCCAAGCGUUUAUAGCGACGUCGCUUUUUGAUCCUUCGACGUCGGCUUUUUCUAUCAUUGUGAAGCGGAAUUCGCCAACCGUCGGAUUGUCCACCCGCCAAUAGGGAACGUGAGCUGGGUUUACACCGUCGUGAGACAGGUUAGUUUUAUCCUACUGAUGACCGGUCGUCGCUAUAGUAAUCCUGCUUAGUAUGAGAGGAAGCAUAGGUUUGGACAUUUGGUCCACGCGCUCGCAUGAGCGGGCGGUGGUGCGAAGCUACCAACCGUGGAAUUAUGCCUAAACGCUUCUAAGGCUAUAUGCUUUCUAGUCAAAAGUGGAAACAAUACUCUUAGCAGUUCCGACAGUCUAGAAUAAGGAUUAUUUGUAUUUCUACAAUCUAAGAUAUGAAUUUUCUGAGUUUCGUUUACAAUAUAACUAGUUAAACAAUUUACAUUAUUCCUCGUUUUGUAAUCAUCAAAAUUUUUAGUAAAAUUCCACGUUGUACAGUUGUUUGUGGCGUAAAACGUUAUGAAAAAGCAUCGAAUCUAUGCUACGGCUGUAUUU
RNAcentral lists this non-coding RNA (975 nucleotides) under Oryctes borbonicus. RNAcentral's name for it is "Eukaryotic large subunit ribosomal RNA". It matches the Rfam family "Eukaryotic large subunit ribosomal RNA", at positions 2392 to 3401 of the family's 3401-position model. Lineage: Eukaryota; Metazoa; Arthropoda; Insecta; Coleoptera; Scarabaeidae. The record is from Rfam by way of RNAcentral.